GGGGCCAUAGCUCAGUUGGGAGAGCGCUUGAAUGGCAUUCAAGAGGUCAGCGGUUCGAUCCCGCUUGGCUCCA
RNAcentral lists this transfer RNA (73 nucleotides) under Roseinatronobacter monicus. RNAcentral's name for it is "tRNA-Ala". It matches the Rfam family "tRNA". Rfam says of the family: Transfer RNA (tRNA) molecules are approximately 80 nucleotides in length. Their secondary structure includes four short double-helical elements and three loops (D, anti-codon, and T loops). RNAcentral also lists the same sequence under 4 other names. The record is from RNAcentral. Lineage: Bacteria; Pseudomonadati; Pseudomonadota; Alphaproteobacteria; Rhodobacterales; Paracoccaceae.